UGGUAAUGCCGGAUGCUCCGGUUGGAUGCAUGUCCUUCCGGGAAAGGUUCCAUCGGUAUGGGAUGGGGUCGCGUCCUAUCAGCUUGAUGGCGGGGUAACGGCCCACCAUGGCUUCGACGGGUAGCCGGCCUGAGAGGGCGACCGGCCACAUUGGGACUGAGAUACGGCCCAGACUCCUACGGGAGGCAGCAGUGGGGAAUAUUGCACAAUGGGCGCAAGCCUGAUGCAGCGACGCCGCGUGCGGGAUGGAGGCCUUCGGGUUGUAAACCGCUUUUGAUCGGGAGCAAGCCCUUCGGGGUGAGUGUACCUUUCGAAUAAGCACCGGCUAACUACGUGCCAGCAGCCGCGGUAAUACGUAGGGUGCAAGCGUUAUCCGGAAUUAUUGGGCGUAAAGGGCUCGUAGGCGGUUCGUCGCGUCCGGUGUGAAAGCCCAUCGCUUAACGGUGGGUCUGCGCCGGGUACGGGCGGGCUGGAGUGCGGUAGGGGAGACUGGAAUUCCCGGUGUAACGGUGGAAUGUGUAGAUA
This 525-nucleotide ribosomal RNA is filed under the name Bifidobacterium dentium. Its description in RNAcentral is "bacterial SSU rRNA". It matches the Rfam family "Bacterial small subunit ribosomal RNA", at positions 161 to 696 of the family's 1533-position model. Lineage: Bacteria; Bacillati; Actinomycetota; Actinomycetes; Bifidobacteriales; Bifidobacteriaceae. The record is from RNAcentral.